This 301-nucleotide ribosomal RNA is filed under the name uncultured bacterium. RNAcentral's name for it is "partial 16S ribosomal RNA". It matches the Rfam family "Bacterial small subunit ribosomal RNA", at positions 509 to 809 of the family's 1533-position model. The record is from RNAcentral.
CAGUAGCCGCGGUAAUACGAAGGGUGCAAGCGUUACUCGGAAUUACUGGGCGUAAAGCGUGCGUAGGUGGUGGUUUAAGUCCGUUGUGAAAGCCCUGGGCUCAACCUGGGAAUUGCAGUGGAUACUGGAUCACUAGAGUGUGGUAGAGGAUAGUGGAAUUUCCGGUGUAGCAGUGAAAUGCGUAGAGAUCGGAAGGAACAUCUGUGGCGAAGGCGACUAUCUGGGCCAACACUGACACUGAGGCACGAAAGCGUGGGGAGCAAACAGGAUUAGAGACCCCUGUAGUCCCUGUCUCUUAUAA